GACGAACGCUGGCGGCGUGCUUAACACAUGCAAGUCGAACGGAAAGGCCCUGCUUUUGUGGGGUGCUCGAGUAGCGAACGGGUGAGUAACACGUGAGUAACCUGCCCUUUACUUUGGGAUAACUUCAGGUAACUGGGGCUCAUACCGGAUAGGCGCUCCUGCUGCAUGGGGGGGGUUGGAAAGUUUCGGCGGUUGGGGAUGGACUCGCGGCUUAUCAGCUUGUUGGUGGGGUAGUGGCUUACCAAGGCUUUGACGGGUAGCCGGCCUGGGAGGGUGACCGGCCACAUUGGGACUGAGAUACGGCCCAGACUCCUACGGGAGGCAGCAGUGGGGAAUAUUGCACAAUGGGCGGAAGCCUGAUGCAGCAACGCCGCGUGCGGGAUGACGGCCUUCGGGUUGUAAACCGCUUUCGCCUGUGACGAAGCGUGAGUGACGGUAAUGGGUAAAGAAGCACCGGCUAACUACGUG
This 468-nucleotide ribosomal RNA is filed under the name uncultured bacterium. Its description in RNAcentral is "partial 16S ribosomal RNA". It matches the Rfam family "Bacterial small subunit ribosomal RNA", at positions 28 to 507 of the family's 1533-position model. The record is from RNAcentral.